Molecule: non-coding RNA, 1570 nt
Organism: Zonotrichia albicollis (white-throated sparrow)
Lineage: Eukaryota; Metazoa; Chordata; Aves; Passeriformes; Passerellidae
Source: RefSeq, a predicted model, not a curated record
UUGUUAAGAGGGCAUUUCAGAAGGAUCUACUAAAGCAUAAAUAAAAUUUAUUCAAUCCAGAGAAUUCUCAUUUCCUUUUUGAGAAGAAUUAGGAAGAAGAAAAAGUGUCAUUCAUUUUUUAUCAAGGGGAGAAAAAGCCAUUUUCCAACAAAUUCCAAACAAUUCUAGAUCUGAGAAAAAGAAGAUACCUUUUGAUCCUUGGAAUCAAAGAGAGACAUCUCAGCAAAGCAGCAGGAAUAGAGGAAGAGUUUGGAUGUAGAUCUGAAUCCUGGUUUAUGAACUUUUUCCACCUAGAUCUCAAGAACAUCAUCUGAAUCUCACCUGCAGAUCUGUACUAAAGGAUGAGCCAGAGACAGAAUCACUGGGAUCUGCUCUUUGAACUGGGCUCUGCAGAAAGAAAGUUGCAGAUAUUGAACUUCAAAGCAAGAGAUAACUGAGAGAAAUAAAUGUUCCAAAUGGUGGAGUGUAUUCUGUAAGCACUUGGGAGACCAGCCUUAGUGAGAGACUGGAACAGAAACUGCACUGAAGUGAAAUAAUUGCUCAAGGGGUUGAUGUAUUUUCUGCAGGCACUCAUACGUCACCAGAGUUCUCUGGAAAUGGUUUGAAUUGCUUGUCUUCCAGACAUUUGGCAGAAAUCACAUGGAGAUGUGGGGGUGUUACAUCUGUUCAUGGCUAAGGAUGGCCUUCAGAAGAAGAUUUUUACUUGCCUUCUCAAAUCAUUUGGAGUUACAUCUGCUUCUUUGCAAGGAUGUUUCUCAUCUGGUGGAAGAAUUCAUACUGAAGCAAGAGACAGAAGCCUGGAAUCUUUAUUUGAUAUCAAAAAGUAAUGCUGGAAAAACUGCACUGAGGAAAGAGUCUUCAGAGACAUUUGAAACACUCAUGUUCAUCUGCUCCUGAGAAGAACCAAAUGUUCGGGACGACUCCAAGCCACUCCUGUGCUGUUCCCACCUCGGCAGGGAAAUCACAGGGGGAGCACUGACAGAGGGAUCCCAGCUCUCCUUCGCUUGUGCUGCUGCUCAGAACUCCUCCUGGGCCUCAUCUGCAGACAGUGCUGCACUAAAGGCAUCUCCAGUGCAAAUGGCUUGUCCUUCACCCUUCUGCAGAGCGGCUGUGUGACCCUGGGUGUACUGGCAGUGACAGCAAAGCAUGUUCUGCUCAGCACUGGCUCUGUGGUUGAAGGCCAGGCUACUCUGCCUCCUCCAGAGCAGCCCUGUGACCACACACACUGCCCAUGAACCCUUCGCACACAGAGGAAGUUUAUAAAAUCACUCGUAUUGCGACUCAUUGGAUUUGUAAAAUCACUCACAUUGUAACUCAUUAGUUUACCCAUCUUAAUGCCAGUAAAUAAUCUAAGUUUAUAGGUUUAAGGUUUUUUUAAACUAAAGCUAGUUUAUAAGUUAAAGCUUAGAAGUAUAUAAGUUCAUAAUAUUUUUAAUUAAUAGAAAUGUAAAAGUCAUUUGAAGGGAGAUAUUAGAGGAUGGACCAGGUUAUGCUCUGUGGUCCCCAGAAAUGAGACAAAAGGCAGGGCCUGAGCCCAGGAGCUGCCCCUGCCCAUGCCCAGAGCUCCUGC